Molecule: ribosomal RNA, 707 nt
Filed under: uncultured Scolecobasidium
Lineage: Eukaryota; Fungi; Ascomycota
Description: eukaryotic LSU rRNA
Rfam family: 5.8S ribosomal RNA (bases 324-476)
Source: RNAcentral
CUUGGUCAUUUAGAGGAAGUAAAAGUCGUAACAAGGUUUCCGUAGGUGAACCUGCGGAAGGAUCAUUACUGAGUGGUUUUCGUCGCGAGACGAGCUGCCCGACCUGAUGUCAUUUGGAGCGGGGCUUGCUGGAAGGGGAAUGGGUUUGCGGUGACCCGGACGAGGCGGAAGCCUGGGAAGGGAAGGUGCGGACCGGCCCGCUGGCGGCUUGGCAUGUAAAUUUCGGCGGAAGAGGCAGGCUGUGACCUGCCCGCCGCCGGCGGUAACCUUUACGUUCUUGAUGAGAAGCUGAAGUCUGAAUGAAAGCAAGGAAAAACAAGCAAAACUUUCAACAACGGAUCUCUUGGCUCUGGCAACGAUGAAGAACGCAGCGAAACGCGAAAGGUAAUGCGAAUUGCAGAAUCAGUGAGUCAUCGAAUCUUUGAACGCACAUUGCGCCUCUCGGUAUUCCGGGAGGCACGCCUGUUCGAGCGCCAUUACAAACUCCAAGCGUUGGCUUGAUGUUGGCCGAUGUCCGGAGAGGGACACGGCUGGAAGGGGUUGGCGCCUCCGGCGGACCACGAGCGUAGCGAGACGAGAGUCAAAAGCGCAUCGAGGGUCCGGACGGACGGCGGCCUUGAGAAAGGGCUGGGAAGCCGAUAGCAACAGUUUGGCCUCGGAUCAGGCGGGGAUACCCGCUGAACUUAAGCAUAUCAAUAAGCGGAGGA